RNAcentral lists this ribosomal RNA (252 nucleotides) under uncultured bacterium. RNAcentral's name for it is "partial 16S ribosomal RNA". It matches the Rfam family "Bacterial small subunit ribosomal RNA", at positions 524 to 776 of the family's 1533-position model. The record is from RNAcentral.
UACGUAGUUCCCGAGCGUUGUCCGGAUUUAUUGGGCGUAAAGCGAGCGCAGGUGGUUUAUUAAGUCUGGUGUAAAAGGCAGUGGCUCAACCAUUGUAUGCAUUGGAAACUGGUAGACUUGAGUGCAGAAGAGGAGAGUGGAACUCCAUGUGUAGCGGUGAAAUGCGUAGAUAUAUGGAAGAACACCAGUGGCGAAAGCGGCUCUCUGGUCUGUAACUGACGCUGAGGUUCGAAAGCGUGGGUAGCAAACAGG